Heterocephalus glaber (naked mole-rat) is the source of this 408-nucleotide long non-coding RNA. NCBI's taxonomy places the organism in Eukaryota, Metazoa, Chordata, Mammalia, Rodentia, Bathyergidae. The record is from Ensembl.
UGUGGGAUUAUAAACUUGCUGUGAAUGGAUGAGAAACCUUCUGCUCUGCUGGAGUUUUUCUCAAGCAUACAAGACAGCUGAUUUCCAGGGCUUCCAUCUGCACAACACCAUCUUCCUCAAUAGUUCCACAAGGAUGGCUAUUCAUCUUUUCCAAGUACUUGAUCAACUGCCACACUUUUAGUGAAGUCUUCCUAUCUUAAUUUGUACUGCAAGUUGGUACAGUUGAGGUGACCAGCAAGGAAGAAAGAGUGAACAAGUUUUAAAGAAUGUACUAUUUGGAUAUAUUUGUCAUCAAGGAUAAUUAUUUUUAUGUUAUAUCUUAUAAUUGAGAUUAACUGCUAUACAUAGAUAAAAUGAAAUCAGUAUUUUGCAAAAAUGAUAAAAAUACAAAAUGCUAAUGCUCUAGGG